This 63-nucleotide small RNA is filed under the name Sinorhizobium meliloti 2011. Its description in RNAcentral is "putative ncRNA". The record is from RNAcentral. Lineage: Bacteria; Pseudomonadati; Pseudomonadota; Alphaproteobacteria; Hyphomicrobiales; Rhizobiaceae.
AAAUUCUGAACGUUUCCGCCGGAAAGCACCGCGCAGCCGAGCAUUGCCGGCUCGAGCGGGUUC